RNAcentral lists this ribosomal RNA (857 nucleotides) under uncultured Bacillota bacterium. RNAcentral describes it as "bacterial SSU rRNA". It matches the Rfam family "Bacterial small subunit ribosomal RNA", at positions 58 to 948 of the family's 1533-position model. Lineage: Bacteria; Bacillati; Bacillota. The record is from RNAcentral.
CAAGUCGAACGAGAAAGUGGAGCAAUCCAUGAGUACAGUGGCGUACGGGUAAGUAACACGUGGGUAAUCUACCUUUUAGUGAGGAAUAACCGAGGGAAACUUCGGCUAAUACCGCAUAAGCCCGAGAGGGGAAAGUCGAAAGACGCUGAAAGAGGAGCCCGCGGCCGAUUAGCUAGUUGGUGAGGUAAGAGCCCACCAAGGCAGAGAUCGGUAGCCGGCCUGAGAGGGCACACGGCCACACUGGCACUGAAACACGGGCCAGACUCCUACGGGAGGCAGCAGUGGGGAAUCUUGCACAAUGGGGGAAACCCUGAUGCAGCGACGCCGCGUGAGCGAUGAAGCCCUUCGGGGUGUAAAGCUCUUUCGUCAGGGAAGAUAGUGACGGUACCUGGAGAAGCAGCUGCGGCUAACUACGUGCCAGCAGCCGCGGUAAUACGUAGGCAGCAAGCGUUGUUCGGAGUUACUGGGCGUAAAGGGUGUGUAGGCGGUUCUUUAAGUUUGCUGUGAAAUCUCCCGGCUUAACCGGGAGGGUGCGGUGAAUACUGAGGGACUAGAGUACGGGAGAGGAAAGUGGAAUUCCUGGUGUAGCGGUGAAAUGCGUAGAUAUCAGGAGGAACACCGGUGGUGUAGACGGCUUUCUGGACCGACACUGACGCUGAGACACGAAAGCGUGGGUAGCAAACAGGAUUAGAUACCCUGGUAGUCCACGCCCUAAACGAUGCAUAUUUGGUGUGGGCAGUUCAUUCUGUCCGUGCCGGAGCUAACGCGUUAAAUAUGCCGCCUGGGGAGUACAGUCGCAAGGCUGAAACUCAAAGGAAUUGACGGGGGCCCGCACAAGCGGUGGAGCAUGUGGUUCA